RNAcentral lists this ribosomal RNA (164 nucleotides) under Acer albopurpurascens. RNAcentral's name for it is "5.8S ribosomal RNA". It matches the Rfam family "5.8S ribosomal RNA". Rfam says of the family: 5.8S ribosomal RNA (5.8S rRNA) is a component of the large subunit of the eukaryotic ribosome. It is transcribed by RNA polymerase I as part of the 45S precursor that also contains 18S and 28S rRNA. The record is from RNAcentral. Lineage: Eukaryota; Viridiplantae; Streptophyta; Magnoliopsida; Sapindales; Sapindaceae.
AAAACGACUCUCGGCAACGGAUAUCUCGGCUCUCGCAUCGAUGAAGAACGUAGCGAAAUGCGAUACUUGGUGUGAAUUGCAGAAUCCCGUGAACCAUCGAGUCUUUGAACGCAAGUUGCGCCCCAAGCCGUUAGGCCGAGGGCACGCCUGCCUGGGUGUCAUGC